CUUGCCCCCAUCCUUCUCUCUCUCUCUCUUUCUCUCUCCCCCACCGUGUAAGGAUACAGCAAGAAGAUGGCCAUUUGCACACCAGGAAGAGGGGUCUCACCAGACAAAGCAUCUACCAGCACCUUGAUCUUGUACUUCCCGGCCUCCAGAACUCAGACAGUGAGACCAGAAUUCAUGGAGGAUUGAAGAGACCUGGUGGGGGCUAGAAGCAAGCUCAAACGAUAAACGCGUGGAAAACAGAAGCCGGAGCUCCGGUUUACUCUUCAGCUGCUGUUCCACUUACACGGACUCAAGAGCGCACAUUCCACACUUGGCCUCGCCUCUGAACAAAGCUAGUGUAUUUUCCUCAGUAAUUGUAGUGGACGGAGCAGAACUGGUUUGAAACUGACUGACUUGAAUGUUUCUUGAAUUAAUCCAUUAGUUAAUUAAUGAAGCAGUACCCA
This 443-nucleotide long non-coding RNA is filed under the name Equus caballus (horse). RNAcentral's name for it is "lncRNA (ENSECAG00000049925.1)". The record is from RNAcentral. Lineage: Eukaryota; Metazoa; Chordata; Mammalia; Perissodactyla; Equidae.